This 780-nucleotide ribosomal RNA is filed under the name uncultured bacterium. RNAcentral's name for it is "bacterial SSU rRNA". It matches the Rfam family "Bacterial small subunit ribosomal RNA", at positions 532 to 1313 of the family's 1533-position model. The record is from RNAcentral.
UCCCGAGCGUUNUCCGGAUUUAUUGGGCGUAAAGGGAGCGCAGGCGGUCAGGAAAGUNUGGAGUAAAAGGCUAUGGCUCAACCAUAGUGUGCUCUGGAAACUGUCUGACUUGAGUGCAGAAGGGGAGAGUGGAAUUCCAUGUGUAGCGGUGAAAUGCGUAGAUAUAUGGAGGAACACCAGUGGCGAAAGCGGCUCUCUGGUCUGUCACUGACGCUGAGGCUCGAAAGCGUGGGUAGCGAACAGGAUUAGAUACCCUGGUAGUCCACGCCGUAAACGAUGAGUGCUAGGUGUUAGGCCCUUUCCGGGGCUUAGUGCCGGAGCUAACGCAAUAAGCACUCCGCCUGGGGAGUACGACCGCAAGGUUGAAACUCAAAGGAAUUGACGGGGGCCCGCACAAGCGGUGGAGCAUGUGGUUUAAUUCGAAGCAACGCGAAGAACCUUACCAGGUCUUGACAUCCCGAUGCUAUUCUUAGAGAUAGGAAGUUACUUCGGUACAUCGGAGACAGGUGGUGCAUGGUUGUCGUCAGCUCGUGUCGUGAGAUGUUGGGUUAAGUCCCGCAACGAGCGCAACCCUUAUUGUUAGUUGCCAUCAUUAAGUUGGGCACUCUAGCGAGACUGCCGGUAAUAAACCGGAGGAAGGUGGGGAUGACGUCAAAUCAUCAUGCCCCUUAUGACCUGGGCUACACACGUGCUACAAUGGUCGGUACAACGAGUUGCGAGCCGGUGACGGCAAGCUAAUCUCUGAAAGCCGAUCUCAGUUCGGAUUGGAGGCUGCAACUC